AUACGGAGGGUGCAAGCGUUAUUCGGAAUCACUGGGCGUAAAGGACGCGUAGGCGGGUUGGCAAGUCAGAUGUGAAAUCCUACAGCUUAACUGUAGAGCUGCAUUUGAAACUGCUAACCUAGAGUAUGGGAGGGGGAGAUGGAAUUAGUGGUGUAGGGGUAAAAUCCGUAGAUAUCACUAGGAAUACCGAAAGCGAAGGCGAUCUCCUGGAACAUAACUGACGCUAAGGCGUGAAAGCGUGGGGAGCAAACAGGAUUAGAAACCCCUGUAGUCC
Molecule: ribosomal RNA, 274 nt
Filed under: uncultured bacterium
Lineage: Bacteria
Description: partial 16S ribosomal RNA
Rfam family: Bacterial small subunit ribosomal RNA
Source: RNAcentral